UUAAUUGAAGAGUUUGAUCAUGGCUCAGAUUGAACGCUGGCGGCAGGCCUAACACAUGCAAGUCGAGCGGCAGCACAGAGGAACUUGUUCCUUGGGUGGCGAGCGGCGGACGGGUGAGUAAUGCCUGGGAAAUUGCCCGGUAGAGGGGGGAUAACCAUUGGAAACGAUGGCUAAUACCGCAUAACCUCGCAAGAGCAAAGCAGGGGACCUUCGGGCCUUGCGCUACCGGAUAUGCCCAGGUGGGAUUAG
RNAcentral lists this ribosomal RNA (249 nucleotides) under Vibrio cholerae. Its description in RNAcentral is "partial 16S ribosomal RNA". It matches the Rfam family "Bacterial small subunit ribosomal RNA", at positions 1 to 244 of the family's 1533-position model. Lineage: Bacteria; Pseudomonadati; Pseudomonadota; Gammaproteobacteria; Vibrionales; Vibrionaceae. The record is from RNAcentral.